Molecule: unclassified non-coding RNA, 729 nt
Filed under: Amphibalanus amphitrite
Lineage: Eukaryota; Metazoa; Arthropoda; Thecostraca; Balanomorpha; Balanidae
Description: uncharacterized LOC122366679, transcript variant X1
Source: RNAcentral
UUUUACUUUGAAACUUUGAAACUUUUACAAUACGAAACGAAGAAAUAUGAAUGAAUAAAGUUAUACGUCUCAGUGCUAUUAUGAUUUGUCUUUCCAUUGGUGAUUUUGCGAAACAGACAAAACAUUUCAUCUACAAGCAAUAAAUUAACGUAAAGUAACGUUAGUAAUUUCCAAAUAUUAAGUGCUAAGAAUAAUACAAGAAGGCACAAAAUGAAAGGAAGUCAAGAACGAAAUCAAGAUCCUUUGGAAAGAGCAAAACGAACGCGUACUAACGCCAAAUGAUGAAACCUUUUACUUUGAAACUUUGAAACUUUUACUAUACGAAACGAAGAAAUAUGAAUGAAUAAAGUUAUACGUCUCAGUGCUAUUAUGAUUUGUCUUUCCAUUGGUGAUUUUGCGAAACAGACAAAACACCCCCUACUGGGGCUAAAGUUAAUAGCGUCGCUUUUUCGAAGUCGUCAGUUAAUAUGUCUCCGUUAUGUCCCUCUAGCGGUGGAAUAGUGUAGUCGCGUGUUCGUCCUGUCAUUGUGCGUAGUGUCUGGUGGUACUUGUGUUGGUCGUGCUUAUGUGUCAAAAGGUGUUGGAUGUGUUGUCGCUUCAGCCUUUUGUUCAUCGAUGUCACUUUGUUUCGUUGAUAUUUCCAUUGGUCCCAGUCGUAGGCAGUCUGAGUUUGUUUGGCUCGUCUGAACAGUCUAUCGCGUUUCCUUAUUUGUGUUUUUAGGUCGUUUG